CUCUAGAGGAAAAGCUGGGCCGGAAAAGUGGGAACCUCUAGGGCGCCGCCCUGUUGCUACUGGUCAAUGUGGCCAGCACAAUUACUAUUGAAAGAGCUGAGAACAAGUACAGGUCACCUUAUGCUUUGUCACCUAAAAACGCAUACCUGAUGGCUUUAUGAAGGUGGUACGUUAAUAUUAAGUUUACAGAAAGCGAUCGCUAAGUCCGUGACUUAUGUAAAUCACGAUGUACGCAUUCAUGCAAUAAAGGAUGACGCGAAUUUCGGUUUCGAAUCUGUUUUUUGGAUGCGUAGUAGUUUCGUUUGACAUGCGAUCGCGCGUCGACAUCGGACGCUAUGACACACUCGUGCCUUAUGUGCCACCGAAGCCCCGAAGUGGUCUGGCAUAUACCUUCACAUGUUUCCCUUCAGUAGGAAAUUGCUGGACAGGCGGACCAGCGCACCGGAAUUGUACUGGCGAAGCCACAAGCAACUCAAAGAAUCUGUUUAAUUGUUGCACUUUGAACAAUCAUGCUUCUACAAAGGCCACAGCAGAAAAACAGCCUGAUGACCGAGUAUUUCUGUGCCACGAAGUAAUCAAGAGGCGAGUGCCUAAUGCGGACGAAAUAGAGUGCAUCGAGACUUAGAACGACAGAAAGCUGAGCUAGUUUGUAAGGAUUCAUUAUGCAAAACAGAGGUGAGGCGUGCAGACAGGACACAAGAGUAGAGAAGUGGGCGGCGCGCGUGUUGUUUGCUUGUAAAUACUCUACUCUUGUUUCCUGUCUGCACGCCUCACCUCCGUUUUGCAUAACGAGUGCAUCAAGCCACAUAUUAAUAGCUUAGGCGUUUUAUUAACUGUGCAAUAUUUUCAACACUUCCUUGCAUGCCAUUUCAUGUGGCAUAUCUUUUCUGGUCACAAAUUUGUGCAGCGAAUCUAUUUGCAUGAUCGACUCCGGGCCUGUGGGACCGUUCACUUGCACUUGAUGCUGAGUCUUUUACAUGUACCCAUAAACUGCAGAUAUGCACAUCAGAUCCCUGCGAGCACUUUCAAAAUUCAAUUAUUUUCGACAACAGGCACAUAUGCAAUACUGACAUAAUCCGGAAUACCACUAAGCAGCUGGGACACAUUUUUGUUGACCAUACUCGCAGGUAAAAUAAGUACAUCAUGUGGACAGCUCCAGCUCAUUUUCCUUAAGUCAGUGUGUACAAGGGUUAUGCAAAAAUAAUUUUUUUCUCGCGCACCGAUCAUUUUGCUUUAUAAGCAAGAGAACCCACCACGUUAGUGUAACGUAUCUUGUGCAUCACACUAAUAUGUGCUUUCAUUUACCAAGUGAGAUGAGUUACUUUUAUGGCUCAUUCAGUCAUAUCACACUGCAAGCUGCAUUCAUCAAUCUUCAAUGGGAUUUUGCAAAUGUUUAAUGAAACAUGUUUCCCUUUUAUGCAGAUAUGCAAUGGCAAGCCCUUCCGUCUGUUCCAAAGACAAUGCCUACGCCUAGCCACAGCAGCUCCCUCAUACAGACUCCGCAAACCAAGAGGCCGUGGAGGCAAAUGCAGGCAGCCAGCACACCUCGAACAGCCACCUUGACUGCGGGUGUGUCACCCUAGUCGCCAAGGAAACAUUUGAGGGAAAGUGACAGGCAAUGUGAACAGCCACUCCUCCAUGUAAACAAUACUCUUUCUCUCGGAUGACUCCUACGCCUCACCACGCCAGCACACUUGUGCACAAAGAUGCCGCAGAGGCACGUGCAGGUCAGAGGCAAGAAGCAGUGGCACUGGUGUCGACAUUUACCCAAUUUCUUUUUCUUACACUGAGGCAGCCAGCACACCUCCAACAGCCACCUCGACUGCGGGUGUGUUAGUUGAUCCCUGUUGUACAUAUGCUCAUAAUAAACUUCAGUAAACUUGAACUUCAUAAUAAACUUGAAGGCAAAUGGUACAUUGAUGCAUUGUAUUUUUGAACAUUUAUUGUACACAUACAAUAUAUGUUAUACUAUGCAAUGCUACAGAGCGUAUUUUGAAGCUUCCCCCUAUAUUUUGCACCUUUAAUUACGUAUGUGUUGUGUGGCCCUCAAUGCAGUUCAUGUUGUAGCAGCUGCUUUGUCUGUGUAUCGCACAUUGGCUUAAGCUCGUGAUAUCCACAUACUUCUCUCACAUAUACAAAAUAAAGUUCUAUGUAGUCCUCAGUGUUACAACAAAAAAUGAAAGUAAACAAUCCGAUCGUGGAAUUAUGUUUAUUACAGUGAUUCCUACGACAGUUACUGACAAGUUGACAACUUGAACUGGUCAAUCGGUCCAUAGCCUCCUCUAUUUUUCAAAAAUAAAGGAGGCUAUGAUCCGUCAUGGCAAGGAAUUGUAUGUAUACAUAAAAAAAAGGGGGUAUGUUUGUAUUUGUAGUGGGGGUAUAGGAUUAGGGCGGUACGAAAAAAUGUACCAACACCGUCCUCUAGACCUAUUCCGUUGAGGUACCGUAACAAAACGUAUUAUGCAUAAAGUUCAUACAACCAACUCUGAUAUUACUACAGACGCCAGGCGACGCGAGCUACAUUUGUCAUGAUGCAUUCGCGACUGCACCGGAUGCCCUCCACAUUAUUCUCGUUAAUCGUGCUCACUGCGCCGAGGCAAAAGAAAGACCAUGGGCGCAGGUGCCUUUAAAGUAUCUCGACCUUGCGAGGCACGGCUGCGCGUGCCAGGGGAGCUGUCCGUGCGAACACUCCCUGGCACACACCUGCCUCGGCGGCCCCAACCUACGUACCGUUCUGCUUCGAACUUUGAUCCCCCCACUGUCCCUCGGGUGCCCUGGAGUUCCUGCGCCGCCUGCUCUACUACCAUCUCAGGUGCUCUCCUGAGACUUCCGUUUGUCGGUUACAUGUGCCCUACAGCUGGAUCAUUACUUAUAAUAAUAAAAAACCCGAUCUAUCGUCACGACGAUAGAUCGCGAAAGCGGCUUUUGCAACAUACCGCGCCCGUGCGAAGAUAAUUACGGAACGCCAACGAGGAAUCUGACCACAGCUUCGAGCUCGUAACGUCGUCGAGUGACACUCCUGCAACAGGCGUGACCGCUGAAAACCGCAUACCGCCAGAAGCUUGAACAGGAUCAUCCCUCGGUUGCAUAACUGCCAGCUCUACGGCCAACAUGGACCACACCCACACCAUCCCCCAAAUAAAGAACCGACUUAUGAAGCCCAAACACACGGCUGCACGCACACAUCACAACACUUCAAGCGA
Dermacentor albipictus is the source of this 3203-nucleotide non-coding RNA. The record is from RefSeq and is a predicted model, not a curated record. Lineage: Eukaryota; Metazoa; Arthropoda; Arachnida; Ixodida; Ixodidae.